Molecule: ribosomal RNA, 425 nt
Filed under: uncultured bacterium
Lineage: Bacteria
Description: bacterial SSU rRNA
Rfam family: Bacterial small subunit ribosomal RNA
Source: RNAcentral
GUGGGGAAUAUUGGACAAUGGGGGAAACCCUGAUCCAGCAAUGCCGCGUGAGUGAAGAAGGCCUUAGGGUUGUAAAACUCUUUCAGUCGUGACGAUGAUGACGGUAGCGACAGAAGAAGCCCCGGCUAACUCCGUGCCAGCAGCCGCGGUAAUACGGAGGGGGCUAGCGUUGUUCGGAAUUACUGGGCGUAAAGCGCACGUAGGCGGCGUAGCAAGUCAGAGGUGAAAGGCCUAGGCUCAACCUGGGAACUGCCUUUGAUACUGCUAUGCUUGAGUCCGGGAGAGGGUAGUGGAAUUCCCAGUGUAGAGGUGAAAUUCGUAGAUAUUGGGAAGAACACCGGUGGCGAAGGCGGCUACCUGGCCCGGUACUGACGCUGAGGUGCGAAAGCGUGGGGAGCAAACAGGAUUAGAUACCCCGGUAGUCC